UGUGUCCCUAUCAGCGUUCCUCUCGUAUCACCAGGAAAGCUGUGACCCGGAUGAGCCGUUCAGUCUCCUUCCUGCACACUAGAAUACCUUUGCUGAGCUCCUGGGUGGAAAAAAAAAAAGGGAGGAUUUACCUGAGUCCAGCCCGUCUGCAUGUGGGUCGGAACGUGUGUGUAUCCCAUUAACUCUGUCCUCGCUGCUCUCAAGAUGUCCCGCACAAAUGAUUUUAUUUUUUUUUUGUAAGAAAAUAUAUUUUACUAGGCAGUUUUAUGAGAGCUGACAAAAUGCCUCAUAAAUAACCCAG
This 301-nucleotide long non-coding RNA is filed under the name Gallus gallus (chicken). The record is from RNAcentral. Lineage: Eukaryota; Metazoa; Chordata; Aves; Galliformes; Phasianidae.